This 405-nucleotide ribosomal RNA is filed under the name uncultured microorganism. RNAcentral describes it as "bacterial SSU rRNA". It matches the Rfam family "Archaeal small subunit ribosomal RNA", at positions 330 to 735 of the family's 1478-position model. The record is from RNAcentral.
GUGCAGCAGGCGAGAAUCCUCCGCAAUGCGCGAAAGCGCGACGGGGUUACCCCGAGUGCCGUCCGCUGAGGACGGCUUUUGCCCAGUGUAGCCAGCUGGGCGAAUAAGGAGAGGGCAAGUCUGGUGUCAGCCGCCGCGGUAAUACCAGCUCUCCGAGUGGUGGGGACGCUUAUUGGGCCUAAAGCAUCCGUAGCCGGUCUGGCAAGUCCCUUGUUAAAUCCAACGAUUCAAUCGUUGGACUGCAAGGGGAUACUGCCAGACUAGGGGGCGGGAGAGGCCGACGGUAUUCCCGGGGUAGGGGUGAAAUCCUAUAAUCCCGGGAGGACCACCAGUGGCGAAGGCUGUCGGCUAGAACGCGCCCGACGGUGAGGGAUGAAAGCUGGGGGGAGCGAACCGGAUUAGAUA